RNAcentral lists this ribosomal RNA (841 nucleotides) under uncultured bacterium. RNAcentral describes it as "bacterial SSU rRNA". It matches the Rfam family "Bacterial small subunit ribosomal RNA", at positions 31 to 896 of the family's 1533-position model. The record is from RNAcentral.
UGACUGUGGCGGCGUGCCUAAACAUGCAAGUCGAACGAAGAGGCCCCUUCGGGGGUACUUCAGUGGCGGACGGGUGAGUAACACGUAGGUGACCUGCCCCGAGGCAGGGGAUAACGGCCCGAAAGGGCCGCUAAUACCCAAAAGGAUCGCGAGUCGCAUCGUGAUCAGAGUUACGGCGUCUCGGGAGGGGCCUGCGGCCCAUCAGCUAGUUGGCAGGGUAAUGGCCUACCAAGGCGACGACGGGUAGGGGACCUGAGAGGGUGAUCCCCCACAUUGGCACUGACACACGGGCCAAACUCCUACGGGAGGCAGCAGUGAGGAAUAUUGCGCAAUGAGCGAAAGCUAGACGCAGCAACGCCGCGUGGACGAUGAAGGCCUUCGGGUCGUAAAGUCCUUUUCAGAGGGACGAGUGAGGACGGUACCUCUGGAAUAAGUCACGGCUAACUACGUGCCAGCAGCCGCGGUAAAACGUAGGUGGCGAGCGUUAUCCGGAUUCACUGGGCGUAAAGCGCCUGCAGGCGGUCUUGUAAGUGGGAUGUGAAAUCUCCUGGCUUAACUGGGAGGGGCCAUUCCAUACUGCGAGGCUUGAGGGCGGAAGAGGGAAGCGGAAUUCCCGGUGUAGUGGUGAAAUGCGUAGAUAUCGGGAGGAACACCAGUGGCGAAGGCGGCUUCCUGGCCUGCUCCUGACGCUAAGAGGCGAAAGCUAGGGGAGCGAACGGGAUUAGAAACCCCGGUAGUCCUAGCUAUAAACGAUGGAUACUGGGUGUCGGUGGUCCUAACCCCAUCGGUGCCGAAGCUAACGCGUUAAGUAUCCCGCCUGGGGACUACGGCCGCAAGGUUA